RNAcentral lists this ribosomal RNA (260 nucleotides) under Bacillus safensis. RNAcentral describes it as "partial 23S ribosomal RNA". It matches the Rfam family "Bacterial large subunit ribosomal RNA", at positions 2020 to 2279 of the family's 2925-position model. Lineage: Bacteria; Bacillati; Bacillota; Bacilli; Caryophanales; Bacillaceae. The record is from RNAcentral.
CUCAACGAGAGACUCGGUGAAAUUAUAGUACCUGUGAAGAUGCAGGUUACCCGCGACAGGACGGAAAGACCCCGUGGAGCUUUACUGCAGCCUGAUAUUGAAUGUUGGUACAGCUUGUACAGGAUAGGUAGGAGCCUUGGAAACCGGAGCGCUAGCUUCGGUGGAGGCAUCGGUGGGAUACUACCCUGGCUGUAUUGACCUUCUAACCCGCUGCCCUUAUCGGGCAGGGAGACAGUGUCAGGUGGGCAGUUUGACUGGGG